UACAGGACAGGUGUAGACAUGGGUAUUACACAUAGUGGGGUUUCUUUCAACAAGCUAAAGCAUUUGGGGGACAUCAGAAAGCCGCAGAUUUAACCUUCUUCAUUUUAUCAGGAUGGCAGUUAAUUUCCUAAUACAAGGUUGACAGAAAACACAAUUAUAGCAGAUAGAGGGAGUUGGUAUUCUGUCCAGCAGUGUUUUGCUGUUAGUGAAGAUGGCGCAAGCACUGUCAGAAGAGGAGUUCCACCGUAUGCAGGCUCAGCUCUUGGAGCUGAGAACACAGAACUACCAACUCUCUGAUGAGCUGCGGAAAAAUACUGCAGAACUGAACAGUGUCCGUCAGAAGACCUCGAACCUGGAGAAAGAAUAUGUCAAAGCGCAGAAGGCCUUGAACAAGAGCAAGAAAGCACAGGAGGUAGAUGCCUUACUCAGUGAGAAUAAAAUGCUUCAGGGCAAGUUACACAGUCAGGAAGAUGACUUCAGACUGCAGAACAGCACCCUCAUGCAAGAGCUGUCCAAGUUAUGUUCCCAGAUCGAGCAAUUAGAAUUAGAGAAUCGGAGACUGAGGGAGGGUCAAGGGCUGGAAGGACCCGCCUCUAGCCCCGCCUCUGGUCCAGUGGAUGCUGAACUCCUCCGUCUACAGGCUGAAAACUCCGCCCUGCAGAAGAAAUUAAGAGCUCUUCAAGAAUGUGCAGAUGUUAAUGAUGGAAAAGCAGCUCUCAUCGAUGGAUCAGCCGGCACUAAUGGUGUCAAGUCAGAUGCCAGCUUUUACAGUGAUGACCCUUCAGCCUCAGGAAAUGAUCAGAUUGAUCAGGCCGAAGUGCAAAGCGUCAAACCGGAACAGCGAGAUAAUGAACUGAGCGAGGUGGCAUUAAAGCUUCAAACGGAAAUGGAGGAGAAAUGCUUACUGAGGGAACAACUCCAGACACUAGAGAUGUCCAAGCAGACAGAAAUCACAAAACUACAAGAAGAAAAUACUAAAUUAUGCGAUAAGUUGAAGAAAAAACAAGAGAGCUUCCAGCAGCUACAGGUUGAGAAGGAAGCACUUUACAAUGACAGCAGGACUAAAAUUGAUGAGAUCCAACAGAGGAAAGAGGAGGAGCUCAAAUCCAUAAACCUUCGUAUGCAGAAAGUGCAGACCGAUUUAAUGGCCGCUAACCAGAACGUCGCUGAACUGAAGGAGCAGUUGCAGAGUAAACAGAAAGAGCACGAGAUGGCCAUCCAUGCGCUCAAAGAUCAGGUAGCGUGUCAGAGCGCGAUCAGUCAGGAGCAGGUGGAGGGCAUGCUGAGUGAGAACGAUGCUCUCAGGACAAAUCUAGCAGCCCUAGAACAGAUCCAAACAGUAAAGACUCAGGAACAGAAUUUGCUGAGAGAGCAAAAUCUGGCAUUAAAUGCAGAGCUUCAGCAGAGACGCACAGAUCAGGAGAGCUUCCUGGCGCAGAAAGAUGAUCUCAACUCACAGCUACAGGAGUCGAACCGAGCGAACAGUCGACUUCUGGAGCAGCUCACUGAACUGGGUCUGGAAAAGGACAAGCUACAGCUGGAGUUAGAGGAGGCCAGAAAGACUGCGGAUAAGCGUAAGGUCAUGCUGGAUGAACUGGCCAUUGAGAUGGCGCAGGAGAAGUCACGGCACAAAGAGGAGCUCAGCGACGUGCGCUUGCAGCAUGAGAAGGAAGUGCUGAGCAUCAGGGCCCGCUAUGAGAAGGAGCUCCGUGGCCUCCACGAGGAGAAGAACCGCACAGAAGAGGAGAUCCGCUCCCAGCUACGAGAUGAGAGAGCUCGUACCAAAGAGCUACAGGGUCUUCAGCCAUAUGUGGAGGAGUUGAAAGCUCAGGUUCAGUCUAUGGAGGGGACGAAGGGCUGGUUUGAGCGCAGACUCAAGGAAGCAGAGGAGACCCUAGAAAAGAACAAACUGGAGCAGUCAGAAGAGAUCCAGCGGUUACAGAAAGCUAACACACUCCAGCUGGAGGCUAAAGCUGCAGAGGUGGAGGCAGUCAAACAGCAAGUGACGGAGAUGCAGAAAGAAAGAGAAGAACUCAACAACACAAUCAGCAAACUCAAACAGGAGAAUAAAGAUACAGUGGAUGGACAGAGAAUCCUGGAGAAAAAAGGUAGUUCAGCGCUGAAAGACUUAAAGAGGCAGCUCCAUCUGGAGAGAAAAAGAGCCGAUAAACUCCAGGAGCGCCUGCAGGAAAUCCUAACCAACACUAAGACUCGCACAGGUCUGGAGGAGCUGGUGUUGUCUGAGAUCAAUUCGCCGAGCCGUACGCAGCAGACGGGUGACAGCAGUAGCAUCUCCUCCUUCAGCUACAGAGAGAUCAUGAAAGAUGGGGCUUCGGCUCCCAGCACCAGUAAGUCCAACACCAGCAGCCCUCAGUCCCAGCGUCCUGCUGACCUUUCGGAUGAUGAGGUCAGUGAGCUCUUCCAGAGACUUGCCGAGGUCCAGCAGGAGAAGUGGAUGCUGGAGGAGAAGGUGAAACACUUGGAGGUCAGCUGUGCCUCAAUGGCCGAUGACAUCUGUAAAAAGACUGCCAUUAUUGAGACGUACGUCAUGGACAGCCGAAGAGAUGUAUCCGGAGGAGGUGCAGUGGCCCAUGGUGCUCAGGGUGAACGAGGAGGUUUGAGUUCUGUGCUGAGGGACUUGGUAAAACCUGGAGACGAGAACCUGCGUGAGAUGAACAAAAAGCUGCAGAAUAUGCUGGAGGAGCAACUGACAAAGAACAUGCACCUACAGAAGACUUUCAUUUGAUGCUUCAUGGGGAAUAAAGAGCUGAACCGUGUUGAGCAAUGACUCAUUCAGGUGGCUUCCUGUCAUAUGGUCCUGAGACUCCACUGAGAGGUCUUAUUCAUCAGCAAGCAGAGGGUGGGCGUGUUGUUAAUGCUAAAACGUUUCUAGGAGCAGGAAUAGAAAGUGCACGUCAGGCAGCCAGCAGGGUGAUGCGUUUGAUGGGAUUUACACCGUCACACAGAUUGACUAAUGACAAUUAACCUCUCACACCCCUCUUGAUAUUUCCAGAGCCGCACAUAGUUAAUGGCUGGUUUGUUGCUGUAGUGAAGCCAUGUGUUGGUUUGUUUGAAUUAUAUUAAAAACUAUAUGUGCUGUAAUAUUAUAGUCUCUUAUGCUCACCAAGCCGCAUUUAUCUGCUAAAAAUACAGUAAAAACAGUCAUACUGUGAAAUAUUAUAUAUUUUUUUUCUAUUUGAAUACAUAUCAAAAUAUAACUAUUCCUGUCCUUUCCAUCUUUGGAUAAAAGCGUCUGCUAAAAUGCAUAUGCGUAUGGUAUAUAUCACAAUGUGUUUUUCUUGACUGAAAAUGAAACCCAAAAGUGUCUUAAAGAUAACAUAACCAUAACAUAUAGUAAUAAAUAUCUAUUUUUGUAUAAUCAAGUGAUUCAAAAGGGUCAUAUGAUACAUGCAUGCAGAUAUGUGCAUACAGAAGAUCUGUAAAGUUGCAAAGACUAAAGUCUCAAAUCCAAGUUCCUCAUCAAAUUAAAGACUCUGCCCCCCCCC
RNA transcript from Carassius gibelio (silver crucian carp), 3506 nucleotides. It is a transcript of the gene named GRIP1-associated protein 1, with no coding region annotated. The transcript has 29 exons. The record is from RefSeq and is a predicted model, not a curated record. NCBI's taxonomy places the organism in Eukaryota, Metazoa, Chordata, Actinopteri, Cypriniformes, Cyprinidae.